RNAcentral lists this transfer RNA (68 nucleotides) under Loxodonta africana (African savanna elephant). It matches the Rfam family "tRNA". From Rfam's summary of the family: Transfer RNA (tRNA) molecules are approximately 80 nucleotides in length. Their secondary structure includes four short double-helical elements and three loops (D, anti-codon, and T loops). Lineage: Eukaryota; Metazoa; Chordata; Mammalia; Proboscidea; Elephantidae. The record is from Rfam by way of RNAcentral.
GCAGUGGUUAAAUGCUUAAAUGCUCGGCUGCUAACCAAAAGGUUGGUGGUUUGAAUCCACCAGCUGCU